GGGGGCGCCUUGGUUUCGACUGGAUGGUAGAAACGAUGGUUGCAUGUAGAGGUUGAUCGGUUGGCCUCUUAAAAAAGCCGUUCAAACAAAUUAAUUGCAGACUCUAACGAGCUCGCACUUGCUGCUUAAUUGACAGCAACGACUCCUUCCCGGACGCCUAUUAAGGGAACAGUCGACAACUAAAAUAGGCUGGCUGUGUACCGGGUGUCCGGGCUACUCAGUGAGAUUCAACAGGGCAAUCGGAAUAGCAACGCGGCUGGUGAGCUUAGCGAUUCCUAAAACCAAAAUCUCCAGCUAAACAUGUAGACGCUAUCAUGGGCAUCAUUUAGGACAGGGGUUCAACUCCCCUCGCCUCCACCA
This 360-nucleotide transfer-messenger RNA is filed under the name Persicirhabdus sediminis. RNAcentral describes it as "Standard tmRNA". It matches the Rfam family "transfer-messenger RNA". Rfam says of the family: Bacterial tmRNA, also known as 10Sa RNA or SsrA, is named for its dual tRNA and mRNA-like properties. Its role is to liberate the mRNA from a stalled ribosome. Lineage: Bacteria; Pseudomonadati; Verrucomicrobiota; Verrucomicrobiia; Verrucomicrobiales; Verrucomicrobiaceae. The record is from Rfam by way of RNAcentral.